Molecule: ribosomal RNA, 446 nt
Filed under: uncultured bacterium
Lineage: Bacteria
Description: bacterial SSU rRNA
Rfam family: Bacterial small subunit ribosomal RNA
Source: RNAcentral
CCAGACUCCUACGGGAGGCAGCAGUGGGGAAUAUUGCACAAUGGGGGAAACCCUGAUGCAGCGACGCCGCGUGAGUGAAGAAGUAUUUCGGUAUGUAAAGCUCUAUCAGCAGGGAAGAAAAUGACGGUACCUGACUAAGAAGCCCCGGCUAACUACGUGCCAGCAGCCGCGGUAAUACGUAGGGGGCAAGCGUUAUCCGGAUUUACUGGGUGUAAAGGGAGCGUAGACGGCAGCGCAAGUCUGGAGUGAAAUGCCGGGGCCCAACCCCGGAACUGCUCUGGAAACUGUGAAGCUGGAGUGCAGGAGAGGUAAGCGGAAUUCCUGGUGUAGCGGUGAAAUGCGUAGAUAUCAUGAAGAACUCCGAUCGCGAAGGCAAGUGUCCGGGGUGCAACUGACGCUGAGGCUCGAAAGUGCGGGUAUCAAACAGGAUUAGAUACCCGCGUACA